This 233-nucleotide ribosomal RNA is filed under the name uncultured bacterium. RNAcentral describes it as "partial 16S ribosomal RNA". It matches the Rfam family "Bacterial small subunit ribosomal RNA", at positions 794 to 1026 of the family's 1533-position model. The record is from RNAcentral.
UCCACGCCCUAAACGAUGAACACUAGUCGUCGGGAUGCUAGUCAUCUUGGUGAUGCACUUAACAGAUUAAGUGUUCCGCCUGGGGAGUACGGUCGCAAGAUUAAAACUCAAAGGAAUAGACGGGGACCCGCACAAGUGGUGGAGCAUGUGGUUUAAUUCGAAGAUACGCGAAGAACCUUACCUAGCCUUGACAUUGAUUGAAUUCCGCAGAGAUGUGGAAGUGCCCUUGGGGA